RNAcentral lists this ribosomal RNA (470 nucleotides) under Synthecium marginatum. RNAcentral describes it as "partial 16S ribosomal RNA". It matches the Rfam family "Bacterial large subunit ribosomal RNA", at positions 1914 to 2542 of the family's 2925-position model. The record is from RNAcentral. Lineage: Eukaryota; Metazoa; Cnidaria; Hydrozoa; Leptothecata; Syntheciidae.
AAAACUUAAAGGACGCGGUAACCUUGACCGUGAUAAUGUAGCAUAAUCAUUCGCCAUUUAAUUGAUGGAUAGUAUGAAUGGUUGAACGAAUAUUUCACUGUCUUAAGAAGAAAUACCAAAAAAUUAGAAUAAUAGUAAAGAUACUAUUUAAAAUUGUAAGACGAAAAGACCCUAUAGAGCUUAACUACAAUUUUCCCACAAAAGAAUGAAAGAUUCACUAAAAUGAGAAGAUAGGUAGUUUAGUUGGGGCGACUGUCUUUUAAAAAAAACAAAGACAAGCAAAGUAAAUAAAAAAACUUAUUGUAUAAUAAAUUAAUUUAACAAUUAUAAAAAUAGGCUAUAAUGACCCGUUAUAAGUAUGUAACAACAAUAACGAUCAAUAAAUAAAAGCUACCUUAGGGAUAACAGGAUAAUUUUAUUUUAGAGAUCUAAUCGAAAAUAAAGUUUGUCACCUCUAUGUUGAAUUAAGA